AAGGGGAAAAUCGAUGGAAUAGCUUCACUUUUCAACGUUCGACGACCUGGCAACCCCAUCAGUUGAGAUUUAAGGUCCGUUUCGAAAUGCUCUGGCUGAAAGUGCUGGCUACAAACCCGGACAUUUGGAUAUUUAUCCAGUGAAGUAUUCACAUCAUAGGCUGCGUUCUUUAUUGCCGCCAGCCACUGUCGACUACGAGUAAUAUCUCUGGCAGGUAACCGAUGAAACGUUACCCCAGCGGCCUGUGCUUGCUUGUAGUUGGCACAUCCAGAAUGCCUGAGCCCAACUCUGUCACCAGUCCCCCCCCAGUUGUACUGCUGAUCCUCUCUCAUUCUCUGUCUCUCUUUUUCUUUCUCUCUCAAUCUCUCUAAGGACUUUAUUGGCAUGGGAAAUAUAUGUUUACAUUGCCAAAGCAAGUGGAAUAGACAAUAAACUGAAGGGAAAUAAGCAAUUAGAAAUUAGCAGUAAACAUUACUCAAAGUUUUUAAAUUAAUAUAGACAUUUCAAAUGUUAUAUUGUCUAUGUACAGUGUUGUAACAUAGUUGAAGUAUAACAAAUAGUUGAAGUAUGAAAGGGAAAAUAAACAGAUAUAUAUAGGUCGUAUUUACAAUGGUUUUUGUGCUCCACUGGUCGCCCUUUUUAGUGGCAACAGGUCAACAAAUAUUGCUGCUGUGGUGGCACAGUCCUCUCUGAAAAGCCAACUGACAUUGACUCCCGAGGUGUUGAACUGUUCCACCCUCUAUAUCCACUGUGGUUAUUGCUUGACAUGGCUGGUAAUCUAUGAACAUCUUGAAUAACCAUCUUGACUUAUUGGCCACGUGUACUCAAAGUUUCCCCAAGGCACAGCCAGAAGAGGACUGACCACCCCUCCGAGCCUGGUUCCUCUCUAGGUUUCUUCUUAGGUUCCCGUCUUCUGGGGAGUUUUUCUUAGCCACUGUACUUCUGCAUCUCAAUUGCUUGCUCUUUCAUUUUUUUGGGCUGAGUAUCUGUAGAGCACUGUAACAAGCUUUAUAAAAUACAUUUGGUUGAUCUACUUGUUUGCUUCUGUACCAUUUAAACUGAAGUUAUAUCACUAUACAGCUAUUUGCUACUGUACUGUUCAUUCUAUAGAAGUUGUCUCCAAUAAAGGAGUGUGAUUUGGAAUCCUCAGA
This is a long non-coding RNA of Salmo salar (Atlantic salmon), 1151 nucleotides long. RefSeq lists it as uncharacterized. The record is from RefSeq and is a predicted model, not a curated record. Lineage: Eukaryota; Metazoa; Chordata; Actinopteri; Salmoniformes; Salmonidae.